CUUCCGUAGGUGAACCUGNGGAAGGAUCUUAU
This 32-nucleotide ribosomal RNA is filed under the name Pisolithus albus. Its description in RNAcentral is "partial 18S ribosomal RNA". The record is from RNAcentral. Lineage: Eukaryota; Fungi; Basidiomycota; Agaricomycetes; Boletales; Pisolithaceae.